RNAcentral lists this ribosomal RNA (253 nucleotides) under uncultured bacterium. RNAcentral describes it as "partial 16S ribosomal RNA". It matches the Rfam family "Bacterial small subunit ribosomal RNA", at positions 524 to 776 of the family's 1533-position model. The record is from RNAcentral.
UACGUAGGGGGCAGGCGUUAUCCGGAUUUACUGGGUGUAAAGGGAGCGUAGACGGCGAUGCAAGCCAGAUGUGAAAGCCCGGGGCUCAACCCCGGGACUGCAUUUGGAACUGUAUAGCUAGAGUGUCGGAGAGGCAGGCGGAAUUCCUAGUGUAGCGGUGAAAUGCGUAGAUAUUAGGAGGAACACCAGUGGCGAAGGCGGCCUGCUGGACGAUGACUGACGUUGAGGCUCGAAAGCGUGGGGAGCAAACAGG